AUGGCACGAGGAACCAUGGUACCCACCCUUCUGCUGCUGCUUCUGGCUAUUUUCUGUGCGACCACCGUCGUCCACAGCAAGGAAUGGAACGUGGGUCGCCAGGACGGAUGGUUCUUCAGCAUCUCCAAUUGGGGGGACGACAAGCCAAUCAAGGUCGGCGAUGUGCUAGUGUUCAAGUACAAGGCAAUUGCGCACAACGUGGUGCAGGUCUCAGAAGAAGACUACAACGCAUGCACGGUCUCUCGCCCGUCGCCGACCUACCGCUCCGGCAAUGACCACAUUAAGGUCACCAGCAGUGGCAGAUUCUUCUUCAUAUGUUAUGUGAAAACUCCUUUACACUGUGAGAAUGGCAUGAAGAUAGCCAUCACUGUCCAAUAG
RNAcentral lists this ribosomal RNA (378 nucleotides) under Triticum aestivum (bread wheat). RNAcentral describes it as "partial small subunit ribosomal RNA". Lineage: Eukaryota; Viridiplantae; Streptophyta; Magnoliopsida; Poales; Poaceae. The record is from RNAcentral.